This 428-nucleotide ribosomal RNA is filed under the name uncultured bacterium. Its description in RNAcentral is "bacterial SSU rRNA". It matches the Rfam family "Bacterial small subunit ribosomal RNA", at positions 355 to 775 of the family's 1533-position model. The record is from RNAcentral.
UGGGGAAUUUUGGACAAUGGGCGCAAGCCUGAUCCAGCCAUUCCGCGUGCAGGAUGAAGGCCUUCGGGUUGUAAACUGCUUUUGUACGGAACGAAAAGCCGCUCUCUAAUACGGGGCGGUCAUGACGGUACCAUAAGAAUAAGCACCGGCUAACUACGUGCCAGCAGCCGCGGUAAUACGUAGGGUGCAAGCGUUAAUCGGAAUUACUGGGCGUAAAGCGUGCGCAGGCGGUGAUGUAAGACAGAUGUGAAAUCCCCGGGCUCAACCUGGGAACUGCAUUUGUGACUGCAUCGCUAGAGUACGGCAGAGGGGGAUGGAAUUCCGCGUGUAGCAGUGAAAUGCGUAGAUAUGCGGAGGAACACCGAUGGCGAAGGCAAUCCCCUGGGCCUGUACUGACGCUCAUGCACGAAAGCGUGGGGAGCAAACAG